GGUUCCUUAGCUCAGUUGGGAGAGCACUACCUCGACAAGGUAGGGGUCGCUGGUUCGAGCCCAGUAGGGACCAUCA
RNAcentral lists this transfer RNA (76 nucleotides) under Carnobacterium viridans. Its description in RNAcentral is "tRNA_Val_GAC". It matches the Rfam family "tRNA". Rfam says of the family: Transfer RNA (tRNA) molecules are approximately 80 nucleotides in length. Their secondary structure includes four short double-helical elements and three loops (D, anti-codon, and T loops). Lineage: Bacteria; Bacillati; Bacillota; Bacilli; Lactobacillales; Carnobacteriaceae. The record is from RNAcentral. RNAcentral also lists the same sequence under 3 other names.